AACAUGACUUUGGGGUGUUUUGUGUGUGUGUGUGUGUGUCUGUGUGUUUAAUUAAGCCCCAAACCAGGAAUUCCAGUUAGUUCUGAGGAGAGAUUGUUGUUGUUGUUUUCAAAAACGGCAAGUCAAAUGACUAGUAACUCCAUAUUUGGACCUUGGAAUGACUCCUUCCUUUUUUGAGAUGUUGGAUUCGGUACCGUUCACCCAGCUUUCCCUUGUUUCUCAAAAGACUGCCUCUCGACUUCCACCAAGAUCCCUCUGGAACAGCCUGAAAGCCAAUACAUUUAUUUAAGAUAAGUAAUCAGAGACCUUGCACAGAGGGCUGCAACACCAUGGUGGUUAUUAUCAGCAAGGCUACGGCCUUGCCCUGUUACUGGAAUUUGGACGGUGAUAAUGGUGGCCAUUUCAAAUAAGCUGACGUGACAAUGGUGGCCAUUUCAAAUAAGCUACAAUUUCUGCACCAAGAUAUAAUGGAUGAGAGAUGCUUGUAGACAAAGAAAUGGGUUCCAUCAGGUCGAUACAGCCGUAUUAAGAUUUCACCUGAGGUAGGCUAGACUUACUGAG
Molecule: non-coding RNA, 561 nt
Organism: Pogona vitticeps (central bearded dragon)
Lineage: Eukaryota; Metazoa; Chordata; Lepidosauria; Squamata; Agamidae
Source: RefSeq, a predicted model, not a curated record